CCCUUAGAUGGUCUGGGCGGCACGCGCGCUACAAUGAUGCAUUCAAAAAGUCUUCUGACCUUAGAAGGUUGGGUAUUCUCCAAAGUGCAUCGUGAUGGGAAUAGUUUAUUGCAAUUUUUAAUCUUGAACGAGGAAUUCCUAGUAAGUACAGGUCAUCAACUUGUGUUGAUUACGUCCCUGCCCUUUGUACACACCGCCCGUCGCUCCUACCGAUUGAAUGUUCCGGUGAGCUCUUCGGACUGCGCGGUCUGCAGUUUCUGCGUUCCGUGCGGAAAGUUGCGCAAACCUUAACAUUUAGAGGAAGGAGAAGUCGUAACA
RNAcentral lists this ribosomal RNA (318 nucleotides) under uncultured eukaryote. RNAcentral's name for it is "partial 18S ribosomal RNA". It matches the Rfam family "Eukaryotic small subunit ribosomal RNA", at positions 1470 to 1796 of the family's 1831-position model. The record is from RNAcentral.